RNAcentral lists this ribosomal RNA (478 nucleotides) under uncultured microorganism. RNAcentral's name for it is "bacterial SSU rRNA". It matches the Rfam family "Bacterial small subunit ribosomal RNA", at positions 9 to 490 of the family's 1533-position model. The record is from RNAcentral.
GAGUUUGAUCCUGGCUCAGGAUGAACGCUGGCGGCGUGCCUAACACAUGCAAGUCGAACGGGUGUACAGAAGGGAAGAUUACGGUCGGAAGAUCUGUGCAUGAGUGGCGGACGGGUGAGUAACGCGUGGGCAACCUGGCCUGUACAGGGGGAUAACACUUAGAAAUAGGUGCUAAUACCGCAUAACGGGGGAAGCCGCAUGGCUUUUUCCUGAAAACUCCGGUGGUGCAGGAUGGGCCCGCGUCUGAUUAGCCAGUUGGCAGGGUAACGGCCUACCAAAGCGACGAUCAGUAGCCGGCCUGAGAGGGCGGACGGCCACACUGGGACUGAGACACGGCCCAGACUCCUACGGGAGGCAGCAGUGGGGAUAUUGCACAAUGGGGGAAACCCUGAUGCAGCGACGCCGCGUGGGUGAAGAAGCGCCUCGGCGCGUAAAGCCCUGUCAGCAGGGAAGAAAAUGACGGUACCUGAAGAAGAAG